This 301-nucleotide ribosomal RNA is filed under the name uncultured bacterium. RNAcentral's name for it is "partial 16S ribosomal RNA". It matches the Rfam family "Bacterial small subunit ribosomal RNA", at positions 509 to 807 of the family's 1533-position model. The record is from RNAcentral.
CAGCAGCCGCGGGAAAACGUAGGGUGCAAGCGUUAAUCGGAAUUACUGGGCGUAAAGCGUGCGCAGGCGGUCCGCUAAGACAGAUGUGAAAUCCCCGGGCUUAACCUGGGAACUGCAUUUGUGACUGGCGAGCUAGAGUAUGGCAGAGGGGGGUAGAAUUCCACGUGUAGCAGUGAAAUGCGUAGAGAUGUGGAGGAAUACCGAUGGCGAAGGCAGCCCCCUGGGCCAAUACUGACGCUCAUGCACGAAAGCGUGGGGAGCAAACAGGAUUAGAUACCCCUGUAGUCCCUGUCUCUUAUAC